UACGUAGGGUGCAAGCGUUAAUCGGAAUUACUGGGCGUAAAGCGUGCGCAGGCGGUUAUGUAAGACAGAUGUGAAAUGCCCGGGCUUAACCUGGGAACUGCAUUUGUGACUGCAUGGCUAGAGUUUGGCAGAGGGGGGUAGAAUUCCAGGUGUAGCGGUGAAAUGCGUAGAUAUCUGGAGGAACACCGGUGGCGAAGGCGGCAUCCUGGACCAACACUGACACUGAUGAGCGAAAGCCAGGGGAGCAAACGGG
This 253-nucleotide ribosomal RNA is filed under the name uncultured bacterium. Its description in RNAcentral is "partial 16S ribosomal RNA". It matches the Rfam family "Bacterial small subunit ribosomal RNA", at positions 524 to 776 of the family's 1533-position model. The record is from RNAcentral.